CCAGCAUGCAUCUCUGCUCACUCAGACCACACCCCCAUUAGUAGGAUGCAACAUUCUAGUGAUGGACAUGUAGAGUUUUAUAAGUAACGAGGGAGCAGACUAAGGUGAUCAGAACACAAUGGAAUGUCAAGUCUGUAAAUCUUUAAACCAUGAAGAUGGUUUGAUAGUUCAGGAAUUGGGCUUCUUUUUAUUACGGGCAGUCCUUUCACUCAGAUGCCCACUUCACACUGGAGCUGUACAUGUGUUGGCUGGCUGGCAUGAUUUGCUGUUGGUCAUGAGGCGGUCAGGGUGACGUUGAGGGCUAUGGUCGGCUCUCUGAGCUCAACGUUUAGAUUUGCUUUGUACCCUGAAUAAUCCAGAUAAUUGUCAAAUGUAGACACGGUUUUGUAUUGAAUGAUUUUAGGUUUAAAGUUGUUGUGGGACGUACAUGGUAGUUUGGUUCUUCGUAUGGUUUUGAGUGAUAUAACUUGUACACACUGGGUGCAUAAUAAUGUAAAGAUACACUGAAUAGUAGUAAUGUCCAACAGCAACAAACAGAUCUCCUCAAGGUAAGUCUGUUGGCUGUGUUUUAAUGAAGACCAUCGCUGGACUUCAGGAUCUUCCUCCGUUCAGCUCAAGGUGAGGCGCUGGUUCUGUUUUUUCUUUGGUUGGUUCCGGCCGGAAUGUUCGUAUUCCAGUCGGACGGUUUGUGCUUCCCGCCGUGGAAGGUUCUGAGUGCGGUCACUUGAUUUAGUCCCAAUGGUUAGCAUAGAACGUUGUAGUCUUGACAACCAUAAGAAACCACCUGGCAGUUAGUUGGACGAGAAUCUGGCGGAACGUUCUGGAUUGUAUUUGCGUAACCUUGAGCCGUUGCCAACGGAAAAAAAAUUCAGUCGGUUCCCAUUGGGAAUUGUUGCCCCUAUCUUAAACAACUUAAGUUUUGAUGUUAAAUACAUACUGUCGCGUACGUCGUACAAUAUGUUGAUAAUUUCUGAUUGUUGCGCCGUACUUUUAACCACGAUGACGUGACGGGACUCUCGCUGCGUACAAAACAGCGUUCUACUUGCGGGCCCAUUUUUGACAUCAGGAAAGGCUGAAAAUCAUUUCAAGGCGGAAGAUAAUUUGACAUUUCUUCAACGGAACCCAGCACCAGAAUAUGAGUAUAUUUGAUUUUAUAUUGAUACUGCUUAGUGUUCUUUGUUACUUCAGCUUUUGUACGUUCUAAAUAUCUGCUGUCAUUAAUUGCCACAUAAGUUAAACCCUACCCAAUGGAAUGACGUUAAACAACGACUUUGGUGCAGAGUUACCAACUGGAUAAUAUCAAAGCUAAAAUAAUGGCUGUCAUUUCCACAUGUUGCAGUAGAAGAUACUCUGGAACUGUACAAGGUUAAAAAGGUAACAUGUAGUUUGUCCCAAGGUGUCUGCCUCCUCACCCAGAGCAAGACCUCCACCUCCUCACCCAGAGCCAGGACUCCACCUCCUCACCCAGAGCCAGACCUCCACCUCCUGUCAGAAGUCCUCCAGAACAGCUGAAAGGCGAGGCUGAGAGGCUGGGGACCGGAGGCUUGUGGUGCCAGGGUGGACCGGAGACUGAGGCUGGAGACCAGGGGCCUGCAGCACCGGACCAGAGGACCAGCAAUCCAUGGCUGAAGGAGCUGAUGGAGGAGCCGAGCUGAUGGAGGAGCCGAGCUGAAGGAGCUGAUGGAAGAGUCGUGCUGAAGGCCCUGCCUUGUGGAGGAGCUGGUGGAGGCCCUGCCUGGUGAAGGACGUCUGUUGUGGGACCAGGACUCUGUCUGAGGAGAGCUACUGGAGGAGGUGAGAUGCUGGAGGACGACUAGGAAUCGACCAACAAGGAUUCCUCAACGUGUUUCUGGAGCAGAGGCGAGCUGGUAGGGGAGCCGUGAAUCUGGAGGAUGACCAUCACUCUACCAACAAGGAUUACUUUAGGGCCAGACUCGCGCUGUUUGUUCCAGACCAGGACUCUGGCUGAGGAGAGCUGAUGGAGGAGCCAAGACUCUGGAGGACGACAUCACUCCACCAACCAGGAUCCUCAGCCCAACCACUACUGUGUUUGUUACCUCCACCUCCUGUCAGAAGUCCUCCAGAACAGCUGAAAGGCGAGGCUGAGAGGCUGGGGACUGGAGGCAUGUGGUGCCAGGGUGGACCGGAGACUGAGGCUGGAGACCAGGGGCCUGCAGCACCGGACCAGAGGACCAGCAAUCCAUGGCUGAAGGAGCUGAUGGAGGAGCCGAGCUGAUGGAGGAGCCGAGCUGAAGGAGCUGAUGGAAGAGUCGUGCUGAAGGCCCUGCCUUGUGGAGGAGCUGGUGGAGGCCCUGCCUGGUGAAGGACGUCUGUUGUGGGACCAGGACUCUGUCUGAGGAGAGCUACUGGAGGAGGUGAGAUGCUGGAGGACGACUAGGAAUCGACCAACAAGGAUUCCUCAACGUGUUUCUGGAGCAGAGGCGAGCUGGUAGGGGAGCCGUGAAUCUGGAGGAUGACCAUCACUCUACCAACAAGGAUUACUUUAGGGCCAGACUCGCGCUGUUUGUUCCAGACCAGGACUCUGGCUGAGGAGAGCUGAUGGAGGAGCCAAGACUCUGGAGGACGACAUCACUCCACCAACCAGGAUCCUCAGCCCAACCACUACUGUGUUUGUUACCUCCACCUCCUGUCAGAAGUCCUCCAGAACAGCUGAAAGGCGAGGCUGAGAGGCUGGGGACUGGAGGCAUGUGGUGCCAGGGUGGACCGGAGACUGAGGCUGGAGACCAGGGGCCUGCAGCACCGGACCAGAGGGUGAUUUACUGCUGAGACCAACUUUGUUCGUAACCAGACCAGCAAUCCGUGGCUGAAGGAGCUGAUGGAGGAGCCAAGCUGAUGGAGGAGCCGAGCUGAAGGAGCUGAUGGAAGAGUCGUGCUGAAGGCCCUGCCUUGUGGAGGAGCUGGUGGAGGCCCUGCCUGGUGAAGGAUGUCUGUUGUGGGACCAGGACUCUGUCUGAGGAGAGCUACUGGAGGAGGUGAGAUGCUGGAGGACGACUAGGAAUCGACCAACAAGGAUUCCUCAACGUGUUUCUGGAGCGGAGGCGAGCUGGUAGGGGAGCCGUGAAUCUGGAGGAUGACCAUCACUCUACCAACAAGGAUUGUAAACUUUAGGGCCAGACUCGCGCUGUUUGUUCCAGACCAGGACUCUGGCUGAGGAGAGCCGAUGGAGGAGCCAAGACUCUGGAGGACGACAUCACUCCACCAACCAGGAUCCUUACCAGGAAUCUGGAGGACUGAUGGAGAAGGUGGAAGGCAAAUCCUGAGGACCACCAGGACUCUACCAUCAAGGAUUCCUCAUAAGUUUGCAUUAUCUGGACAUAGUGGACUAGACACACCUGAGCUGAACCCGCCCUGAUCCUGACAUCAUGCUGGUCCCGUCUCCUCAGUUCAUCUGAGCCUCGUCCUCCAGAAGACCUGCUGAGCUCAGCAGUCUGAGGCUGAUGGAUCAAUGACCUCCAGUGGGAGUGAUCUUCUUGACCCCACAUGUAACCGUGUGCUUCCACACGCCUUUCCCUCACGUCUGUCACUAACCUCACUACUUCACUACUCUCUACUGCUUCCUCUUUUCUUCCUUCUCUGUGGUUCAAACCUUUACACUGAAGGCGCGUCUUCCUGCCCUCAGAGGGUUUAGCGUUAGGGUUGAGAGUCAGGGUUUAGAGUCAGGGACAGAGCUGGUCAGGGAGGACUGCUUUUACACAAACCUCUUCACUUGCUUUCGGAAUGGUGGUGACAUUUUGAAAAGUUUCAUUUGGGAAAAUGUUUUCCUCUGCUUUCCUUUACAAAAUUGUAUUAAACUUCUGUCAAGUGUUUUUGUAUAUAUAUUAAAAUCCCACA
Molecule: long non-coding RNA, 3852 nt
Organism: Gadus chalcogrammus (walleye pollock)
Lineage: Eukaryota; Metazoa; Chordata; Actinopteri; Gadiformes; Gadidae
Exons: 20
Source: RefSeq, a predicted model, not a curated record